CGCACCUUGCGCCCUUUGGCUAUUCCGAAGGGCAUGCCUGUUUGAGUAUCAUGAACACCUCAACUCUCAUGGUUUGCCAUUUGAGCUUGGACUAUGGGGGUUUUGCUGGCCUGUGGUCAGCUCCUCUCAAAUGAAUCAGCUUACCAGUCCCGUUUGGUGGCAUCACAGGUGUGAUAACUAUCUACGCUUGUGGUUUUCCACCAAGUAACCUUCAGCAAUGGAGGUUCGCUGGGGCUCAUAAACGUCUCUCCUCAGUGAGGACAGCUCUUUGAACGUUUGAUCUCAAAUCAGGUAGGACUACCCGCUGAACUUAA
This 314-nucleotide ribosomal RNA is filed under the name uncultured Thelephoraceae. RNAcentral's name for it is "eukaryotic LSU rRNA". Lineage: Eukaryota; Fungi; Basidiomycota; Agaricomycetes; Thelephorales; Thelephoraceae. The record is from RNAcentral.